Pseudopipra pipra is the source of this 628-nucleotide long non-coding RNA. RefSeq lists it as uncharacterized. NCBI's taxonomy places the organism in Eukaryota, Metazoa, Chordata, Aves, Passeriformes, Pipridae. The transcript is spliced from 2 exons. The record is from RefSeq and is a predicted model, not a curated record.
GUUGGCAAUGGCACAGUUGAGAACUUCUGGGUAAAAAUCAAGGGGCAAACAAAUAAUGCAGAUGUCAUUGUGGGAGUCUGCUGUAGACCUCCCAGCCAUGACAAUGACACCGAUGAUUUAUUCUUUGAGGAACUAAGGGACACUUCCAAAUCCCACCCUUAUGGGCGACUUCGACUUGCCAGAAAUUGACUGGGAGCAUCACACAGCUGGUACAACCCAGGAAGAAAAAUGCCAGCAAAACCUCAGCUCUGGACAUGAGGAGAGCAGACUUCAGGCUGCUCAGGGAAUUAGCAAGUAAGGUCCCCUGGGAAAAUGUAUUUGCAGAUGCUAAGGUGCAUCAGUCCUGUCCACUUUUUAAACAUCACCUCCUCAGGGCACAGGAGCAGGCAAUUCCCAAGUGUUGAAGUCAAGCAGGCAAGACAGAAGACUAGCUUGGCUGAAUAGGAAUCUUCUCAUGGAAACAAGGCAAAAAAGGAAGGUGUAUGACCAGUGGAAACAAGAUCAAGUGACAUAGGAACAAUUCAGAAAUGCUACUUGCUGCUGUAGGGAGCAAAUUUGUGCAGCCAAAGCUCAACUGGAACUAAAGCUGGUCAGAAAUGUGGUGGACAAUAAAAAGAGUUUUUUCAAA